Molecule: ribosomal RNA, 338 nt
Filed under: uncultured Planctomycetota bacterium
Lineage: Bacteria; Pseudomonadati; Planctomycetota
Description: bacterial SSU rRNA
Rfam family: Bacterial small subunit ribosomal RNA
Source: RNAcentral
AAUUUGAUGCGACGCGAAGAACAUUACCGGGGCUUGACAUGGUAGAAGUAGGAACCCGAAAGGGUAACGAACGGUAUCCAGUCCGUGACUAUCACAGGUGUUGCAUGGCUGUCGUCAGCUCGUGUCGUGAGACGUUGGGUUAAGUCCCCUAACGAGCGAAACCCUUGUUUUUAGUUACCAGCGGGUUAUGCCGGGUACUCUAGAAAGACUGCCGUCGUCAAGACGGAGGAAGGUGGGGAUGACGUCAAGUCAUCAUGGCCCUUAUGCCCCGGGCUGCACACGUGCUACAAUGGUCGGUACAAACGGAAGCGAAGCCGAGAGGUGAAGCGAAUCCAAGC